This is a long non-coding RNA of Oryza sativa Japonica Group (Japanese rice), 429 nucleotides long. RefSeq lists it as uncharacterized. NCBI's taxonomy places the organism in Eukaryota, Viridiplantae, Streptophyta, Magnoliopsida, Poales, Poaceae. The record is from RefSeq and is a predicted model, not a curated record.
UCUCCGACUACCAAAGCAUCGAUCAGAAAUUUCGUCAGAGAAGAAGGCGUUUGAUCAACAGCAAUCAAUUCGGCCGGUGAGAUGCAUCUUGAUUCAAACCUGAAACCCCCCCAAAUCAAUGCAUUCUUUAUGCCAAGUGGAAUUGACUGCUUCAUAAUCAUUUACCAAUCCCCCAAAACAAAAGCUGCGAUGAACAUUGCUACGCAAGGACAUGCCGGGAAAAAGGACUCAUUGACCUCUAGCGAAGAUGGGAAAUGGUGAUGAGAAAUUGGAGAUUGACGCUGUCUCGACAUGAACUUUAGUACGGGGCUACGGCGACAGUGGGCAUCCAGUACACCCGUGCACGGGAGUAAACUGUUGCAACUCAAGUUAGGUUUUUUUUCGACAAUAAACAUCUCGUGGAUUGAGAGUUCAGAUUGGUUUCUUGCA